RNAcentral lists this transfer RNA (63 nucleotides) under Argas sp. San Antonio ARK-2022a. RNAcentral describes it as "tRNA-His". The record is from RNAcentral. Lineage: Eukaryota; Metazoa; Arthropoda; Arachnida; Ixodida; Argasidae.
ACUUAAUUUAGUUUAAAUAAAAUUUUGAACUGUGGAUUCAAGGAUGAUUGAGAUCAAUAAGUA